RNAcentral lists this ribosomal RNA (391 nucleotides) under uncultured bacterium. RNAcentral's name for it is "bacterial SSU rRNA". It matches the Rfam family "Bacterial small subunit ribosomal RNA", at positions 505 to 898 of the family's 1533-position model. The record is from RNAcentral.
GUGUCAGCCGCCGCGGUAAUACGUAGGGUGCGAGCGUUAUCCGGAUUCACUGGGUUUAAAGGGUGCGUAGGUGGGCUAGUAAGUCCGUGGUGAAAUCUCCAAGCUUAACUUGGAAACUGCCGUGGAUACUAUUAGUCUUGAAUAUUGUGGAGGUAAGCGGAAUAUGUCAUGUAGCGGUGAAAUGCUUAGAUAUGACAUAGAACACCGAUAGCGAAGGCAGCUUGCUACACAAUCAUUGACACUGAGGCACGAAAGCGUGGGGAUCAAACAGGAUUAGGUACCCUGGUAGUCCACGCCCUAAACGAUGGAUACUCGACAUACGCGAUACACAGUGUGUGUCUGAGCGAAAGCAUUAAGUAUCCCACCUGGGAAGUACGAUCGCAAGAUUGAA